UUUUUUUUUUUUUUUGGCGGCCUAAAUAGUUGUUAGAAUAGCAAGGGUAAAUUAAUGUAAUAUUAACAUAUGAGAAUUAAAAGUGGAAAGCAGAGAUGCUUAAAUGCAAAACUCAUUGCUAAAAUAACCUUUUUUUCUCUUCCACCAUUUUUUUUCCUUGAUAAAUGUUAGAAUAAUGAGGCUGAUUUAGUCUAAAGUCGGCAUAAAAGGACUAAGAAAUUUGAAUGGGGGAGUGGGUUGGAUUUAAGAGCAAAAAUAAUUGUUCCAACAGCCAUUGUUCUUACUAUUUUGAUUUUUUUUCCCUAACAGUUGCUACAAAAUUGUAAAAAUAGCUGUUUUAUUUCAGGGAUUAGGGGUUUUGUCUUCCAUAUUUUUUGCCUAAAGAAUUGGUGAUAUCAUGAAGGUAAUUUUGUCAAUUCGUAUACUAUAAUAGUCAAUCUCUAACUCAAGGGGUAAGUAAUAUUUUUAAAAUUUCCCACACGCCUCGUGAUAUUAUCUUCAGAGAGAUUUUUUAAAUAAUCCAAUGUAUAUACCCCCCCCCCCCCCCCCAAAACCCAACACACGUACACACACAAAUGUAGACUGAAAUAGAGCCACUUUUUAACUUUAAAGAUUAGAAUUCUACCUUUGGUAAGAAAGCGCGUUUAAUAGAGCAACCAAACGUAGAUUGAGGAGGAGCAAAACUCUCAGAUAUAUAUAUGUGUAUAUAAAUAUAGAAAAUCCACUGUCCAAUAUUUACAUGAUACGCAAGGGGAACGUAUAACUUCAAUCAUUCCACAGCCUUCCCUUCCAAGAGACUCGAAAAGUCAGGAAAUAGCAACAAAAGAAGGGAUGCUACAAGAUUACAGCAGUCAAAUAACAGAGGCUUUUUGGCACAAUUUUAGCCGCUGAGUCUGAACCUUGUCUUC
This 908-nucleotide long non-coding RNA is filed under the name Coffea arabica (coffee). Its description in RNAcentral is "long non-coding RNA (CARA_LNC007504)". Lineage: Eukaryota; Viridiplantae; Streptophyta; Magnoliopsida; Gentianales; Rubiaceae. The record is from RNAcentral.